Molecule: transfer RNA, 72 nt
Filed under: Caenorhabditis briggsae
Lineage: Eukaryota; Metazoa; Nematoda; Chromadorea; Rhabditida; Rhabditidae
Also listed under: 1 other name
Description: tRNA-Ala (CGC) (tRNA-Ala-CGC-3-1)
Rfam family: tRNA
About the family: Transfer RNA (tRNA) molecules are approximately 80 nucleotides in length. Their secondary structure includes four short double-helical elements and three loops (D, anti-codon, and T loops).
Source: Rfam by way of RNAcentral
GGGGGUAUAGCUCAGGGGUAGAGCGCUCCCUUCGCAUGGGAGAAGUCUGGGGUUCGAUUCCCCAUACCUCCA